GGAGAGAUGGCCGAGUGGCUUAAGGCGCACGCUUGGAAAGCGUGUAUACGUAAAAUGUAUCAUGGGUUCGAAUCCCAUUCUCUCCG
This 86-nucleotide transfer RNA is filed under the name Borreliella garinii. RNAcentral's name for it is "tRNA-Ser". It matches the Rfam family "tRNA". From Rfam's summary of the family: Transfer RNA (tRNA) molecules are approximately 80 nucleotides in length. Their secondary structure includes four short double-helical elements and three loops (D, anti-codon, and T loops). Further hydrogen bonds mediate the characteristic L-shaped molecular structure. tRNAs have two regions of fundamental functional importance: the anti-codon, which is responsible for specific mRNA codon recognition, and the 3' end, to which the tRNAs corresponding amino acid is attached (by aminoacyl-tRNA synthetases). tRNAs cope with the degeneracy of the genetic code in two manners: having more than one tRNA (with a specific anti-codon) for a particular amino acid; and 'wobble' base-pairing, i.e. permitting non-standard base-pairing at the 3rd anti-codon position. Lineage: Bacteria; Pseudomonadati; Spirochaetota; Spirochaetia; Spirochaetales; Borreliaceae. The record is from RNAcentral.